AUGACUAUGUUGUGUGCAAUCCUGCAACUAAGGAGUGGACUGCGCUGCCUCCUAUACAAUUUUUGGUUCAAGGCAUCGUCAAUGUCGGACCACUCAUUUACUUGGGCUUCGAUGCGGCUGUUCCGUCCCGCUUUGUGGCGUUUGCCCUGUCUGCACCCGAUGCACCACACCACACAAAAGUGUCUAUCUACUCAUCAGAAACUGGACGGUAGACUUCUGUUCAGUGUAAGUGGGCCCCUGGAACUACUGUUAAUAGACAUGCAGGGCAUGUGUUCCUGA
This 279-nucleotide ribosomal RNA is filed under the name Triticum aestivum (bread wheat). RNAcentral's name for it is "partial small subunit ribosomal RNA". Lineage: Eukaryota; Viridiplantae; Streptophyta; Magnoliopsida; Poales; Poaceae. The record is from RNAcentral.